This 356-nucleotide ribosomal RNA is filed under the name uncultured soil bacterium. Its description in RNAcentral is "bacterial SSU rRNA". It matches the Rfam family "Bacterial small subunit ribosomal RNA", at positions 26 to 408 of the family's 1533-position model. The record is from RNAcentral.
AGAACGAACGCUGGCGGCAUGCCUAAUACAUGCAAGUCGAACGAACUCUUCGGAGUUAGUGGCGCACGGGUGCGUAGCGCGUGGGAAUCUGCCCCUUGGUUCGGAAUAACAGUUGGAAACGACUGCUAAUACCGGAUGAUGACGAAAGUCCAAAGAUUUAUCGCCAAGGGAUGAGCCCGCGUAGGAUUAGCUAGUUGGUGAGGUAAAGCUCACCAAGGCAACGAUCCUUAGCUGGUCUGAGUAGGAUGAUCAGCCACACGUGGGACUGAGACACGGCCCAGACUCCGUACGGGAGCAGCAGGUAGGAAUGUGGACAAGUGGGACAAGCCUGAUCCAGCAAGUGCCGCGUAGAGUGA